This 206-nucleotide ribosomal RNA is filed under the name uncultured bacterium. Its description in RNAcentral is "partial 16S ribosomal RNA". It matches the Rfam family "Bacterial small subunit ribosomal RNA", at positions 524 to 726 of the family's 1533-position model. The record is from RNAcentral.
UACGAAGGGGGCUAGCGUUGUUCGGAUUUACUGGGCGUAAAGCGCACGUAGGCGGAUCGUUAAGUCGGGGGUGAAAUCCUGGAGCUCGAACAUCCAGAACUGCCUUCAGAUACUGGCGAUCUUGAGUCCGGAAGAGGUGAGUGGAACUCCUAGUGUAGAGGUGGAAUUCGUAGAUAUUAGGAAGAACACCAGUGGCGAAGGCGGCU